UAACACAUGCAAGUCGAGCGGAUGAGUGGAGCUUGCUCCAUGAUUCAGCGGCGGACGGGUGAGUAAUGCCUAGGAAUCUGCCUGGUAGUGGGGGACAACGUUUCGAAAGGAACGCUAAUACCGCAUACGUCCUACGGGAGAAAGCAGGGGACCUUCGGGCCUUGCGCUAUCAGAUGAGCCUAGGUCGGAUUAGCUGGUUGGUGAGGUAAUGGCUCACCAAGGCGACGAUCCGUAACUGGUCUGAGAGGAUGAUCAGUCACACUGGAACUGAGACACGGUCCAGACUCCUACGGGAGGCAGCAGUGGGGAAUAUUGGACAAUGGGCGAAAGCCUGAUCCAGCCAUGCCGCGUGUGUGAAGAAGGUCUUCGGAUUGUAAAGCACUUUAAGUUGGGAGGAAGGGCAKUAASCUAAUACCUUGCUGUUUUGACGUUACCGACAGAAUAAGCACCGGCUAACUUCGUGCCAGCAGCC
RNAcentral lists this ribosomal RNA (472 nucleotides) under uncultured bacterium. Its description in RNAcentral is "bacterial SSU rRNA". The record is from RNAcentral.